Molecule: ribosomal RNA, 396 nt
Filed under: uncultured bacterium
Lineage: Bacteria
Description: bacterial SSU rRNA
Rfam family: Bacterial small subunit ribosomal RNA
Source: RNAcentral
AUUGAACGCUGGCGGCAUGCCUUACACAUGCAAGUCGAACGGCAGCACGGGGCAACCUGGUGGCGAGUGGCGAACGGGUGAGUAAUGCAUCGGAACGUGCCAUUGAGUGGGGGAUAACGUAGCGAAAGUUGCGCUAAUACCGCAUAUUCUGUGAGCAGGAAAGCAGGGGACCGCAAGGCCUUGCGCUCUUUGGAGCGGCCGAUGUCAGAUUAGCUAGUUGGUGAGGUAACGGCUUACCAAGGCGACGAUCUGUAGCGGGUCUGAGAGGAUGAUCCGCCACACUGGAACUGAGACACGGUCCAGACUCCUACGGGAGGCAGCAGUGGGGAAUUUUGGACAAUGGGCGCAAGCCUGAUCCAGCCAUGCCGCGUGAGUGAAGAAGGCCUCGGUUGUAAG